Non-coding RNA from Pseudonaja textilis, 139 nucleotides. The record is from RefSeq and is a predicted model, not a curated record. Lineage: Eukaryota; Metazoa; Chordata; Lepidosauria; Squamata; Elapidae.
GACCAUAAUUUGUUCCAUAACUUUGGUGAUUUCUUCAUCUUCUAAUGUUCGUCUUCAGGAAUUUCAGGGUCAGGGGUCGUGUUUGAUCGGCACCCAGGUAUGUGUUCAUGACCAGAUUCAAAAAAUUUUUUGAAUGUUU